Harmonia axyridis is the source of this 537-nucleotide long non-coding RNA. RefSeq lists it as uncharacterized. The transcript is spliced from 3 exons. The record is from RefSeq and is a predicted model, not a curated record. NCBI's taxonomy places the organism in Eukaryota, Metazoa, Arthropoda, Insecta, Coleoptera, Coccinellidae.
GAUUUCGUCAUGAAAUAUCUAUUCGUUUGUAGCUUUUUCAAGUUGAGAUCUUCAAUUCAAGAGUUCAUCGUAAACAAGUAAUUUUAUUAUAUCAAGUGUACGAAGAAAGAAGAAAUUUUGAAUGAAAUCUUCGAGCUGCUGUUCUGGGUAGGACUCAACAAACGAAAAUCACAUCUCUAUAAGUGAAUCGUCAAAACAUCGAAAACUGGUCAGGUGUUGCAAAAAUCUGGUUCGAAUUUGUUUAUCACCUGUGCGUUGAUGCAUCGAAAUGGAUCCGAGUUUACUAGAAUCUUCCAGAGCAGACAUGUUAUUGAUAAGAACGUGAAUAAUAAGAAGGAUCUAAACAGGCUGGCGCCAUUAUUAUCGAAAACAAGUGUUGUUCGUACGUGAAUUGUUUGUGAAGAAUUAUUGAUGAAAAAUAUGAAUUUUCUGGUGAAAAUUGCGAAAAUAUGAUUCCUUGGAUACUGGAAAGUCUUCAGAAGUGAUGGAUGGAAUUGGAGCUGAGUUGAUUACAGGAUUUUCGGACGAAAAUGUGAG